RNAcentral lists this ribosomal RNA (301 nucleotides) under uncultured bacterium. RNAcentral describes it as "partial 16S ribosomal RNA". It matches the Rfam family "Bacterial small subunit ribosomal RNA", at positions 509 to 807 of the family's 1533-position model. The record is from RNAcentral.
CAGCAGCCGCGGGAAUACGUAGGGUGCGAGCGUUAAUCGGAAUUACUGGGCGUAAAGCGUGCGCAGGCGGUUCGUUAAGACAGAUGUGAAAUCCCCGGGCUUAACCUGGGAACUGCAUUUGUGACUGGCGAGCUAGAGUAUGGCAGAGGGGGGUAGAAUUCCACGUGUAGCAGUGAAAUGCGUAGAGAUGUGGAGGAAUACCGAUGGCGAAGGCAGCCCCCUGGGCCAAUACUGACGCUCAUGCACGAAAGCGUGGGGAGCAAACAGGAUUAGAUACCCGUGUAGUCCCUGUCUCUUAUAC